CAGCGCCGCGGGAAUACGGAGGGAGCUAGCGUUGUUCGGAAUUACUGGGCGUAAAGCGCGCGUAGGCGGUUACUCAAGUCAGAGGUGAAAGCCCGGGGCUCAACCCCGGAACUGCCUUUGAAACUAGGUGACUAGAAUCUUGGAGAGGUCAGUGGAAUUCCGAGUGUAGAGGUGAAAUUCGUAGAUAUUCGGAAGAACACCAGUGGCGAAGGCGACUGACUGGACAAGUAUUGACGCUGAGGUGCGAAAGCGUGGGGAGCAAACAGGAUUAGAUACCCCCGUAGUCCCUGUCUCUUAUACA
RNAcentral lists this ribosomal RNA (301 nucleotides) under uncultured bacterium. RNAcentral describes it as "partial 16S ribosomal RNA". It matches the Rfam family "Bacterial small subunit ribosomal RNA", at positions 509 to 808 of the family's 1533-position model. The record is from RNAcentral.